GACGAACGCUGGCGGCGCGCUUAACACAUGCAAGUCGAACGGAAAGGCCCUGCUUUUGUGGGGUGCUCGAGGGGCGAACGGGUGAGUCACACGUGAGUAACCUGCCCUUGACUUUGGGAUAACUUCAGGAAACUGGGGCUAAUACCGGAUAUUCGCUCCUGCUGCAUGGUGGGGGUUGGAAAGUUUCGGCGGUUGGGGAUGGACUCGCGGCUUAUCAGCUUGUUGGUGGGGUAGUGGCUUACCAAGGCUUUGACGGGUAGCCGGCCUGAGAGGGUGACCGGCCACAUUGGGACUAAGAUACGGCGCAGAAUCCUACGGGAGGCAGGAGUGGUGAAUAGUGCACAAUGGGCGGAAGGCUGAGGGAGCAACGCCGGGUGCGGGAUGACGGCCUUCGGGUUGUAACCCGCUUUCGCCUGUGACGAAGCGUGAGUGACGGUAAUGGGUAAAGAAGCACCGGCUAACUACGUG
Molecule: ribosomal RNA, 468 nt
Filed under: uncultured bacterium
Lineage: Bacteria
Description: partial 16S ribosomal RNA
Rfam family: Bacterial small subunit ribosomal RNA
Source: RNAcentral